Molecule: transfer RNA, 92 nt
Filed under: Heterobasidion irregulare TC 32-1
Lineage: Eukaryota; Fungi; Basidiomycota; Agaricomycetes; Russulales; Bondarzewiaceae
Rfam family: tRNA
About the family: Transfer RNA (tRNA) molecules are approximately 80 nucleotides in length.
Source: Rfam by way of RNAcentral
UCCGGUAUGGUGUAACGGCUAACAUUGCCGCCUUUCAUUCGAAUGAUGUUGAAGGCUCGCGGCAGCUCGGGGUUCGAUUCCCCGUACCGGAA